This is a long non-coding RNA of Homo sapiens (human), 3998 nucleotides long. RefSeq annotates it as EEF1A1 antisense RNA 1. The record is from RefSeq and is marked validated. NCBI's taxonomy places the organism in Eukaryota, Metazoa, Chordata, Mammalia, Primates, Hominidae. The transcript is spliced from 5 exons.
GCGCACCCUGCUUCCUAGGGAGGGAGGCUGGGGCGGCAAGGCGGGCGCGGGUGGUCCUUGCCCCGCGCCAGCUCGCCAGGCCACGUCGCUGGCGUUUUUCCAGCGCUGGGUCACCUGCGGGCCGGCGGGUUCCCGCGGCGAACAGCUGGGUGGUAUGGAUACGCCGCUCGAGCCUCCGCAGCGUCAGGUCGCCAGGGUCCGCCCUGCCACUCGCCCCACCUUGAGCUACCUCUGAAGAAAAGAUGAUGGCCCGGUGCGGUGGCUCACGCCUGUAAUCCCAGCACUUUGGGAGGCCGAGUCAGGCGGAUCACCUGAGCAGUGUAAAGAAAGUCUGAAGAAUACUCCAGGAAAAUUGAGGAAACUAAAGCUAUUUCUACUACUGGUCUCAUAAUUGCAAAGCCAGUGCCUACCAUGAUAAGUGCUCUCUUACUUGGUAUGAAGGAAAUGAUUUUCUUCCCUUGCUAUUUUUUUUAGAAGAAGACGUAUAAGCCUUUAAGCUUAGUAAACCUUUGGGUUCUGUGCAUUUGGCCAUCAUUCCAGUUGUCAGCAUUGUGCAGGACAGGUACUUGAGGUCUGUUUUUGUGAACCAGGGACCCGAGGCACAGAGCAAGUAAGUGGAUAGAAACAAAUGCUGUAAGAACAAAUAAUUGUAUUUAAAAAUUUAUGAUUUUCAUUUAUUUUUCAGAGGAAGCAUUAAUGAGUAGGUAGUAAUUUCUGGGUAUUAAAAAACCAUCAGAGACAUUUCUUUUUCCUUAUAAAAGAAGUCAUAACAGUGAACAUUUAUAGCACUUAGCUUACUAAGGGUUUCACGUCCUAUAAUCCCCAGCACUUUAGCAGGCUGAGAGGGGAGGACUGCUUGAGGCCAGGAGUUCAAGACCAGCCUGGGUAACAUAGCAAGACCCUGUCUCUAUUUAGAAAAAUAAUAAAAACAAAGGGUUUCACAUGUAUUUUAGAAAUUAGACCUUCCGAAGUUGUGAGAUUUGUAAUAAUGUUCAUUUUAGAGACUAGAAAACUAAGCCUCAUGAAGGCCAUGUGACUUGUCCACCAUUGCACCAGUGCUGAGUGGCAGAUCUCUGGUCUGGAAGCCACGUUCUUCUCACUAUACCAUGUUGCCAUUUUUCAGCAACUGGUGCACGAUGCAUAUUCUCCAAGACAGAAGGGAAGGAGGCUUGAUUAAUUGUGGCUCAGCCUUUCCUCAUAGUUUUGGGGCUGUAAGACCUGUGCAUUGUAAGUGAACCAUAAGGUCUGUUUGCCUCAGAGCAGGUUAGUUCACACCGUGCUGCUGCUGCUUUUAAGCAAUGCAGGAUGAACGGAGCUUGGGAGCAAUUUUCUCUCACUCCCAUGGUGGCAUCUCUUCAGUUCACUUUCUUUGUACUGCUCCUCUUAGGUUUAUGGCCGUGCAGUUGUCAGUGCUCCUGUCAGUCUUUCCAACCUUCCCUCUAAAUUCCUGGCACCAGCAGUUGGCCUAGAACAUGCUGAUCUUCAGCACCCUGACAGAAAAGGCUGCUAUCACAGUGGAAAGUGUGGCUUCCUGGGCUGCCUCUUGGCAAAGGGCUCUAGCUUGUCCAGAUUUGGGUCAGCCCCAGGGUCUAUCAGUUCCAGGAGAGGUGUUGAAGGGCUGUGACAAAUGCCUGCCCUGGCAGAUGGAGGAAGCUCUGGCUAGCUUGAGAGCGCAGUGUAAUAACAGCUGCCCUGAGAAGGGACUUCCAGCCAUUCUUGUGCUCUGAGAUUGUGUCCGGAAUUGGUGGGUUCUUGGUCUCACUGACUUCAAGAAUGAAGCCGCAGACACUUGCGGUGAGUAUUACAGUUCUUAAAGGCAGCGUGUCCGGAGUUUGCUCCUUCUGAUGUUCAGAUGUGUUCGAAGUCUCUUCCUUCUGGUAGGUUCGUGGUCUCACUGGCUCAGAAGUGAAGCUGCAGACCUUCACGGUGAGUGUUACAGCUCUUAAGGUGGCGCAUCUGGAGUUGUUCGUUCCUCCUGGUGGGCUCGUGAUCUUGCUGGCUUCAGGAGUGAAGCUGCAGACCUUCGCGGUGAGUGUUACAGGUCAAAAAAAGCAGUGUGGACCCAAAGAGUAAGCAGCAGCAAGAUUUAUUGCAAAGAGCGAAAGAACAAAGCUUCCCCCGCGUGGAAGAGGACCCAAGCGGGUUGCCACUGCAGAGUUUGGGCAGCCUGCUUUUAUUCUCUUAUCUGGCCCCACCCACAUCCUGCUGAUUGGUAGAGCUGAGUGGUCUGUUUUUACAGGGCGCUGAUUGGUGCAUUUACAAUCCCUGAGCUAGACACAAAGGUUCUCCACCUCCCCACCAGAUUAGCUAGAUACAGAGUGUCAACACAAAGGUUCUCCAAGUACCCACCAGAGUAGCUAGAUACAGAGUGUUGAUUGGUGCAUUCACAAACCCUGAGCUAGACACAGGGUGCUGAUUGGUGUGUUCACAAACCUUGAGCUAGAUACAGAGUGUGGAUUGGUGUAUUUACAAUCCCUGAGCUAGACAUAAAGGUACUCCAAGACCCCACCAGAGUAGCUAGAUACAGAGUGUCGAUUGGUGCCUUCACAAACCCUGAGCUAGACACAGGGUGCUGAUUGGUGUAUUUACAAUCCCUUAGCUAGACAUAAAGGUUCUCCAUGUCCCCACCAGACUCAGGAGCCCAGCUGGCUUCACCCAGUGGAUCCCGCACUGGGGGGGCAGGUGGAGCUGCCUGCCAGUCCCAGUGCGUGCGUGCGCCCGCACUCCUCAGCCCUUGGGUGGUCGAUGGGACUGGGCGCCGUGGAGCAGGGGGUGGCACUUGUCGGGGAGGCUCGGGCCGUACAGGAGCCCAUGGAGGGGGUGGGAGGCUCAGGCAUGGCGGGUUGCAGGUUCCGAGCCCUGCCCCGCGGGAAGGCAGCUAAGGCCCGGUGAGAAAUCGAGCCCAGCGCCGGUGGGCUGGCACUGCUGAGGGACCCAGUACACCCUCUGCAGCCGCUGGCCCGGGUGCUAAGCCCCUCAUUGCCCGGGGUCGGCAGGGCCGGCCGGCUGCUCCGAGUGCGGGGCCUGCCAAGUCCACGCCCACCCGGAACUCCAGCUGGCCCGCAAGCGCCACGCGCAGCCCGGGUUCCCGCUCGGGCCUCUCCCUCCACACCUCCCUGCAAGCUGAGGGAGCCGGCUCUGGCCUUGGCCAGCCCAGAAAGGGGCUCCCACAGUGCAGCGCUGGGCUGAAGGACUCCUCAAGUGCCGCCAAAGUGGGAGCCCAGGCAGAGGAGGCGCCGAGAGCGAGCGAGGGCUGUGAGGACUGCCAGCACGCUGUCACCUCUCAAGCUGACAUCGGCAGCUGUGAGGACCCACCUGUUAGGAAGUCAGGGACCCUGAACAGAGGGACCGGCUGAAGCCAUGGCAGAAGAACAUGGAUUGUGCAGAUUUCAUGGACAUUUAUUAGUUCCCCAAGUUAAUACUUUUAUAAUUUCUUAUGCCUGUCUUUACUGCAAUCUCUAAACAUAAAUUGUGAAGAUUUCAUGGACACUUAUCACUUCCCCAAUCAAAUACCCUUGUGAUUUCCUAUGCCUGUCUUUACUUUAAUCUCUUAAUCCUGUCAUCUCGUAAGCUGAGGAGGAUGUAUGUCCCCUCAGGACACUGUGAUGAUUGCGUUAACUGCACAAAUUGUAGAGCAUGUGUGUUUGAACAAUAUGAAAUCUGAGCACCUUGAAAAAGAACAGGAUAAUAGCAAUGUUCAGGGAACAAGAGAGAUAACCUUAAACUCUGACCGCUGGUGAGCCAGGCAGAACAGAGCCAUAUUUCUCUUCUUUCAAAAGCAAAUGGGAGAAAUAUUGCUGAGUUCUUUUUCUCAGCAAGGAACAUCCCUGAGAAAGAGAAUGUGCCCCUGAGGGUAGGCCUCUAAAAUGGCCCCCUUGGGUGUGGCCAUCUUCUAUGGUAGAAACUGUAGGAAUGAAAUAAGCCCCAGUCUCCCAUAGCGCUCCCAGGCUUAUUAGGAUGAGGAAAUUCCUGCCUAAUAAAUUUUUGGUCAGACCGGU